UACGGGGGGGGCAAGCGUUGUUCGGAAUUACUGGGCGUAAAGGGCGCGUAGGCGGCUCGCUAAGUCGGGUGUGAAAACUCUGGGCUCAACCCAGAGCCUGCAUUCGAAACUGACGAGCUAGAGUUCUGGAGGGGAAAGCGGAAUUCCUGGUGUAGCGGUGGAAUGCGUAGAUAUCAGGAGGAACACCGGUGGCGAAGGCGGCUUUCUGGACAGAAACUGACGCUGAGGCGCGAAAGCUAGGGGAGCAAACAGG
This 253-nucleotide ribosomal RNA is filed under the name uncultured bacterium. RNAcentral describes it as "partial 16S ribosomal RNA". It matches the Rfam family "Bacterial small subunit ribosomal RNA", at positions 524 to 776 of the family's 1533-position model. The record is from RNAcentral.